AUUGAACGCUGGCGGCAUGCCUUACACAUGCAAGUCGAACGGUAACGCGGGGCAACCUGGCGACGAGUGGCGAACGGGUGAGUAAUACAUCGGAACGUGCCCAGUAGUGGGGGAUAGCCCGGCGAAAGCCGGAUUAAUACCGCAUACGACCUACGGGUGAAAGCAGGGGAUCGCAAGACCUUGCGCUAUUGGAGCGGCCGAUGUCAGAUUAGGUUGUUGGUGGGGUAAAAGCCUACCAAGCCGACGAUCUGUAGCUGGUCUGAGAGGACGACCAGCCACACUGGGACUGAGACACGGCCCAGACUCCUACGGGAGGCAGCAGUGGGGAAUUUUGGACAAUGGGCGCAAGCCUGAUCCAGCCACGCCGCGUGCAGGAGGAAGGCGCUCUGCGUUGUAAACUGCUUUAGCAGGGGAAGAAAGACUCAUGCGUGAGGAAUUGACGGUACCCUGAGAAUAAGCACCGGCUAACUACGUGCCAGCAGCCGCGGUAAU
This 492-nucleotide ribosomal RNA is filed under the name uncultured bacterium. RNAcentral's name for it is "bacterial SSU rRNA". It matches the Rfam family "Bacterial small subunit ribosomal RNA", at positions 29 to 524 of the family's 1533-position model. The record is from RNAcentral.